CUCAGCUCUUUCCACUUACAAAUAACAUACAUUUUUCUCUAUUGCACCAAAUCAUUAGUAUCAAUUCACACUACUACUCAGCUCCAAAAGGCCAAAUUCCACAACUCCAUCAUCUCGAUGAUCUUGACAUGCUACAUCUUGAUGAGAAUUGUACAAAAACAAAUUGUACAAAAACAAACAUAUCGAUCUUUGUACGGGACUACAUCAUUAGUAGUAAUUCACACUGUUGAAUUACAAAUGGCCAACAAUUCCUUGUGGGGGUUCUUGCGGCAAACAUCUUCAAUUCCACCAAUCUCAAACAUUUUAACAUGAGAACUGCAUUGCUCUUUGUACUACACUUCAUCAGUAGUGUUAAUUUCCCCUAUUUAAUUCCAAAUGGAAGACAAAUUCGUUGGAGUGUUUGCUGCUCAACAUCUUCAAUUCCACCAAUCUCAUCAAUUCCAAUAUGAUAGUUACCUUGUAUGAAUUGUAAAUAAACAAACAUAUUCAGAUAAGGGUACCUUGAUUAACUUCCUCAUCAGUUAAAUAUGAAUUGCAAUUGAGCACGUUACUUCACAAAUCUGCAUGUGCAUGGUGACUAAAUCAUUUGAUGACAAAACAGUAGCCAGUUUCGGCAGUCUGUUGUGUCCCCCAGGCCAAAUACGAAGGACAUUUUCCAGAACAUACACUAGAACAAGGCUGCAGCUGUAACGUUAAAUUUGUAGGAAUGCUUACUAAGAAAGAAUGAUGAUUAAUUGCUUAUAGCACGAAUGAUCCAUCUUACAUCAUAAAAUAAGCAUAAGAGAAGUUUGAGAUUCAGGUAAAUGAAUGUACCUGACUUGUAGCUGCGCUAUAUAUCUUCUCUUCAAAUCGUACAGCAAUUUUCUGAAGUUCAUUUAAGCCUUCCGGCACAGAAAUAGGCAAGUGUCUCUUUAAAGUGUCCAUUCUGCAAAAAAAAAAAAAAAAAGCCAGUAAAUGCCGCUGAUAAUGGAGUUGAAUCUCACGAAGAAACUAUUAACAAGAAAACUGUGUGCCUGCAUAGAUAUUGAAAACUGUGUGCCUGCAUAGAUAUUGUUGAUGAGGACUCAUCCAUAUAUAACGAAGGUUACUCUAAGAACAAGAUCUCUACCCAUGAUUUCGUUCAGACCUAUCAAGUUAAAAACAUAAAUAAACGCAAUUUUUGAUAUAUUUCUUAACAAGCGCAGACAAAUAUUCCCUCCCUUUCUUCUUCUUACAAUCUUAUCCCCUUGUUAUCUCUCUCUCUCUCUCUAGAUAUAUAGAUAUAGAUAUAGAUAUAGCGACAGGGGAUUCCUUGAGGGAACUUGGUGUCCUAUCUACGGUCCAAAACUCCAUCAUCUCCAUCAAUUNNNNNNNNNNNNNNNNNNNNNNNNNNNNNNNNNNNNNNNNNNNNNNNNNNNNNNNNNNNNNNNNNNNNNNNNNNNNNNNNNNNNNNNNNNNNNNNNNNNNNNNNNNNNNNNNNNNNNNNNNNNNNNNNNNNNNNNNNNNNNNNNNNNNNNNNNNNNNNNNNNNNNNNNNNNNNNNNNNNNNNNNNNNNNNNNNNNNNNNNNNNNNNNNNNNNNNNNNNNNNNNNNNNNNNNNNNNNNNNNNNNNNNNNNNNNNNNNNNNNNNNNNNNNNNNNNNNNNNNNNNNNNNNNNNNNNNNNNNNNNNNNNNNNNNNNNNNNNNNNNNNNNNNNNNNNNNNNNNNNNNNNNNNNNNNNNNNNNNNNNNNNNNNNNNNNNNNNNNNNNNNNNNNNNNNNNNNNNNNNNNNNNNNNNNNNNNNNNNNNNNNNNNNNNNNNNNNNNNNNNNNNNNNNNNNNNNNNNNNNNNNNNNNNNNNNNNNNNNNNNNNNNNNNNNNNNNNNNNNNNNNNNNNNNNNNNNNNNNNNNNNNNNNNNNNNNNNNNNNNNNNNNNNNNNNNNNNNNNNNNNNNNNNNNNNNNNNNNNNNNNNNNNNNNNNNNNNNNNNNNNNNNNNNNNNNNNNNNNNNNNNNNNNNNNNNNNNNNNNNNNNNNNNNNNNNNNNNNNNNNNNNNNNNNNNNNNNNNNNNNNNNNNNNNNNNNNNNNNNNNNNNNNNNNNNNNNNNNNNNNNNNNNNNNNNNNNNNNNNNNNNNAUAUUGAAAAGUGAUGAUUACAUAAAUCAAUCAGAUAAAAUGAUGCACUCCAUAAUAGAUUUUUUACACUACUCACAGUGCACAAAAAAAAUUUUAUGAUAUAUGAUAAUGGGCUCAGUCGUCAGAAAAUUUUAGAGGAGGCAAACACCUCUCUUAUUGCUAAUAGAUUUCAUGAAUUUCAUUACUAUUUUCUCACCGGACAGUAAAAAAUUGCUAAUAUACAUGUAACAGACACUUAGGCAUUAUUUCUGAAAGAAAGUCUCGUGACUUUGGCAUGUAAGAAUUUCUAACAAGUUAUUGGAUACUAUGGUUUCAGAAAAAUGUUUGACUCCGAAUUACAUAAGAUUGUUAUUGAGAUACAUGCAACUUCCUAGUUAUACCUUUGAAGCUUUGACUAUUUGUAUGAAGGGUAUUGAUGAAUUGGAGCUCAAAGACAGUGGUGAGUAAAUGUUAGUUGGGAGGUGAAUUCAUAAUGAAAGUUAUUUUCUAAUUUUGUGCAGUGAUUAGCCGGGUAAUAUAUUGAUCAAAGAUUUAAAAUAUUUUGAUCAGCUAUAUUUUGAUCAUUCAUGAAUCAUUUUAUCGCUUAUCUAGAUGAUCUAAUUGUGACAUGUGGCCUCAGCCAAGUAUUAUCCAUGCCAAUAUUUUCCACAUCAUAAUUUUAAUUCUUUGAUUUCCACAAAUGCUUAUAACCAACUCAAUUUCGUUUGAAUGUUGGGGACUAUCAAUGGAGUUCCAGUAGGGCCAGAGUAUGGGAGCUCUUGGAGGUGCCGAUGUGGUGAUAAGUCCCGCUGAUCCAGUGCACCACCAACUUUGUAUCCAUAGAUCUCACAAACUUACAUCGGAGAAAAAUUAUUGGUUGAACCAAAUCCAUCACAUCAUUUUUAGACCAGUUCAACAAUAAUUCGAUACAUCUGAAACUUAGGUAGAGGGGAAAAAUAUCGGCGAAUGAAAGUUUUUCAACCCCUUUGAUAUUGUAGUUAAUGGCUGGCUAAAUUGUUUUGAGUUUGCUGCAAUCGCAACUUCUCAAACUGGUAUUCUAUCUUGUUACUCGAAAUCUUCCUCCGUCUCUCCAUCUGCCUCCUUCAUGGUAUCUCCCAUGAUGGGCUCCAAGCCUAUGUCGACAGAGAUGAGUUAGUGGCAAUAGUAAGGGCAUCUUGGAAAGGGCCUCGGCCCUACAAAAACCUCUGGUGCACAGCUUGUGGCUCCAAGCCCAUUGCCAGUGAGGAUGAGUUGACGGCAUCGGCAUGGGGAUCUUGGAGAGGGCCCAAGACUUGUCUCGAUUUUUUAGCAUUUUUACAUCCUUUGAUCCCUAAUCUAGUCGAUCAGUUUCUCUGCAAUAGGUAUUUGGCCUCCAUGAUGUCUUCUACAAGGAUCUCGAUUGCGCCUCUUAGAGCUCCAAGCCCAUUGCCAAUAGAGAUGAGUUGGCGACAAUGGCGAGGGGAUCUUAGAGAGGGCUUCCAAUGCACCGCCUCUGGUGGAGAUGAACCGACAAUAGUGGCAAGGGGAUUUGAAGAGGGCCUGGCCCUGAUCUUAAUUUAUUGACAUAUUUAUAUCACGUUGGUCCUUAAUCUUGCCAAUUUUUUUCCUCCACAAACAUUUUGAAUUGUGAUUGAACUGAUCCAAAAAUGAUAGAGUGGAUCUACUUUAAUCAAUAUUUUUUCCAUCUUUUCUUCGGGGCAUCACCAACAAUGAUCCAUGCCCUUCUUUGGGUUAAAGACUACAUCCCAUCUGCUAACACCUUAUUGAUCAAUCAAUGUCAACAUCUUCUUUGAUGAAUGGUUUUACCGACACCACCCCCGGCCGACCAUCCUGGGUCCUCGACCAUAUUGCUAUCUCGACCUCCAACCUUCGCCGAAGGCUUGCUUUGGCCUCAAUCUCAACCUCCAUCGAGAUCCCUCUAAGAUCUUUGGGCUUUUGUUUGCCUUAUGGAUUUUGUCGUGGGCGCACUUUUCUAACAUAGUAUUCUAGAUCACAUAAAAAUCAUUUUUAGAGUGUUAAUUAUUUGAUUUCUACAAAUUAUUCACCAAGUAAAUAUCUUUCGUCAUGCGUAUUAUCUAUAAAAUACGUAUCCUUGCCAUUAAAUUAGGACAAUCUGAAAGAAUUGGCAUCUAGUGCAUGACUUUGACUUGGGGCUUGCUGACAUGGACAUACAUUGCAGCUAAAAUCUCAUUAUGUUUUAAAAGUUUGAGAUAAGACAAUUAGUCAUUAAUUUCUCCCCUACCAGCCACGGAGGAAUUAAGUUUUCAGCUAUUGCUUUUUUAGAUCAAGCCUCUACAGUUCUGACAAUAGUAGGAUAAUCGAUCUGAAGAAGUCCAGCUGAUUUGAAUUUUGAAGUUCCACUCAGAUUUACGUUUUAGAUAGUAUUGGGUCUUUAUAUCAUUAGGGGAUAUGGGUAAAGGUAGACCAGUUAAUAUCUGUCCAAAUUAAUCGUUGUAUCCGAACCUACUCAAACAUGGAUAAAAAUUUAAGUAUUCGACUAAUAUCCGUAUUCGUAUCUAUGUCUACAAAAAAAAAAAAAGGAUAUAGAUAAAUAACUGUACGAUUUGUAACCAAAUAUUUGAUUUUACUUAUAAUCUUAUUUAAUUUUAUAUAGUAUCUAUUAAGUUUUAAAAAAAUAUAUAACUAUAUUAACAUGCCAUUAAUUUGAUUUAUCAUUAACUUAGUAAUAUUUUUUAUUGUGGUCAUAAAAUUUAACUAUGCAAUUUAUAUCCAUAUUUAUAUCAAUAUUUUUCGUAUCCAAUUUGUAUAUGUAUCCGUUUAAAAUAAAUAUAGAUAUGAAAAUUUUCAUCCGAUUAAUAUCUAUAUUAAUAUUUAUAUUAAAAAAAUAAAUAUAGAUAUAGAUAUACUGAUAUUCGAUCUAUAUUCAAUCUAAUUUUUGCCCUAGUAGAAGAUAAAUCUAGCGAGCUGAUUAGGGCUGGGACGGUAGGGCUUUUUGGAAUUGAGCUAUGGUUCCUGUGUUGCUUGGGCUUCUUUGCUUUCUUUUUUUAAUCAUUUUGCUCAAAAUAAAAAAAAUAAAAUAAAAUAGUUUUCUUUUUCUUUAGGGUAGAGCAUGAUAAAGUUUCAAAAUUUGGUUCCCCAGGAUCACACCAAAGAUGUCUUAUGUACCAAGUUAGUACGGAGAAGAUGAUAAAAGAAAUAAUUACAAAGGUAUAGGAAUUUUUCUUAUAUCUCCAAGGGUCCAAUUCUUGCUAGUGGCAUUUCUAACAUAUUUUUCUCAAAAAUACAAGAAGUAAUUAAAUGCCUGUUUAGUACUUUUUUUUAAAAAAAAAUAGAAAUAUAGAACCAAAUAUAAAAAAAUAUAUUUGGCUAUCAUAUUUCUAUUUCAUUUUUUUAAAACAACUCUCAUUAUUUUCGAAAAAGGAGAAAGCAAAAAAAAUUACUUCCAUUUUUUUACAUAAUAGAUUUUCACCUUUAUCAUCCCAACCCGGCAACCCCACUUCUUUUUUUGCCUAAUCUUAUCCUCUACACCAUUGCCACCAGCCAACGUACCACCUCUCUGGACUUUGCCAGCCAUCUUUCUACCCGAUGCAAGCUAUCCCUCAUUCUCGCCGCAUCGCCGGACCCAUUCCUACUUCCUUUUCCUCUCACACUCCCUCGACUGUCUCUCUGCUCGACAUCAAGCUCUUCCUUGUUUUUAGCCACAUCAUCAGCCCCAACUCCCUUGUUUUCUAUUGUCUGAAAUCUGAAAAAAAAUAGGAAUAGAAUUUCUAAUUUCAAUUUUUUUUAAAAAAAAUGACAAUGAUGCCAAACACAACAUAAGUUUGCAUUAACAAACAAGAGAGAAUAACAUCCCCAAGCCCAACUAGCUUCAGUAUUCUGAACCAGUACUGACAAAUUAGGAUGUUCAGAGAGAAUAGAUAUAUCAGCUAGAGGAAAACUAUGAAGACGAACAAGAUGAUAAAGAAGAAAAAGAUGAAAAAGAAAGAAUCCAAAUGAUGAUGAUGAUGAACAUCUUGUAAUUGCUGCUUCAUUUGCUCUCUUUGCAUCAGUUGCCGUUGUUGAUCCUGCUGUUGUUGCUUCAAAUACUGCUGCUGUAUUGUGUUAGAACUUGGUUGCACAAGACUAGCAUUAGGUUGUAAUGUAUUCAUAGAGCUGUUUGAUAGAGUAUUGGUGUUGGUCUGUUGAGGUGCAUUGACGGUACUUGGCACAGAUCCCACACCACCUUGUUGCUUGGAGCCCACAGCACCCUGCUGCAAUGAAUUAAAAGAACUGCCUUGUACUGAAUCCAGAUUAGCAGCAGGCUGUAAUGCAUUUGUGAUAUUCUGCUGUGUCGUUGGAACACCAAAGUUUGUUGGUCAAGGCAUGGAUACAUGUUGCAUGCCGGUCACAGCAGAUGGCUGCAUUGAAGUUGCUGAAACUUGUAAAUUCAUUUGUUGCACCUGGUUUGGGUGAUUGUCAAUUUGUCAUGCUGCUGCAGCUGAGAAACUUGGGAUGGUUGUUGCUGUGGCAUGGAGUGAGCAAGCCCACCAGGAUGCUGGAAUUGCUGUUGUCCCUGAGAUUGCGAUGGUAUACCUUUCUUUUUAGUUGAAGCUAGAACAUUAUGAAUUUGUCUCUCAUACAGAGGAAGUUUUUCCUUCAAACCAGGUUGAAUAUUAUUCUUUGAAAUCUGUAGAAUCACUAAAGUACGCUCUAACAUUGUCUUAAAGGUUUUCAUUUUUUCAAACUGUUCUGACGGCUUUGCAGGUGGUAUGAGAGCAUCAUGCUGAAGACAUUAAAAUACCAAGAGAGAUGCAUAAGUUAUCAACGAUCAGAAAGGCUAGCAGAAGUUAGUUUAAAUACAAGAUUUCUUCUAUUAAUGUUUUGAAAUAAAAUCUAAAUUCUGUGCAACAAAUUCACAAGAGAUAUUAGAACCUGCUGCAACUUCAAAGCGACCUUUUGGUAGAACUCAUUGAGGUCCGUAAAGUACAUCUCCCUCCAGGAUUUUAUCUGUCGUCAAUAAAAUAUAAUCAAAAUAUUAAUGAUAAAACUUCACAGGAACAUAUAUAGAUGCAACUUGUACUCUAAUUGUAGAAGCUAUAAAAUUGAUAUACCCAAUGGUUUAUGUUACCAGCACAUAAAUCUGAUAAGCAAAAGAAAACAUGACAAGAUGUACCAAUUCAUAUCGACAUUGAGAAAUGUGACUUCCUUCGAUGCAUGUUAUCAGUGAAGAUACAUGAAUGUGUUUUGGGUCUAAAAACAUGUGAUGCGCCUAUUUGGUCAUCAGAGAACAUAAUCUAAACUAACAGAAAAUAUUAUAGAUGACUUGCAACUUUUCUGCUCAUAAUUCUUUUUGACCUCAGGGCUUAUAAAUUUCCCUCCCAACUAUUCUCCCAAAAAAUUUUCUCAUCAUUCUCAUCCUAAAUUUUUCUUGCAAGUCUUUUGACUCAAAAUCCUUGACAAAACCCAUGCAUGGCCUGCCAUCAACUUCUCUUCUGACCAAACCUGUAAAUUAUAGUAGUAUGAUGCAUGUGCCAUGCAUGCACUUUGAUGAAUAGGAAUCCUGAAAAGUCUGGAGUUUCUAUCUGGACCCUAGUGUUGAGGUGUGCCAGGGGCACAGAGGCAUGCAACACGUCCAAGUAUCAGCACUGCAAUAAUUUCUCAUGAGAUGUCCUGGCGCUUGAAAUCUUGAAAGAAACAACAUAAAGAACAUUUUAGAAAAUACAAAAAUGGACCUAUAUGAACUGGAGCUCCAUGGAUGGAGUACUCUGAAGUUUCAAUUUAAUAGUAGAAUGGAUGAGAGUACGGGGAAUUGCUACUGAUGUUAUGACCUGACAAAAGAAUUUCAAUGUUUAAGUAAUUAUUUCCCUAGAAUAGGACAGAAGCUAGACCAACACUACACAAAAGAAAUGAAUUUCAGUGAUAAAAACAUUCCAAGCAGGGCUAUAAUAAUUAAAGGGCUAUAAAAAGUAGCCGUUCAACAAAGCCAAGUUCCUCAUGAGUUCCAUAUUAUAAUACAUAGCCCAGAGCAAGGUAGUCAGAAUCUUAAAAACUUCAUUUCCAAAGACAAGGGCCAAUAUGAGAAGUUUAGGGGAAUUUGUUUGGUUUACUUAUUAUAAUUUGAUAUGGAGAUGUCAGGUGCUCUGGAAUUAUUUUGAACAAAUAUCCAAGAUGCUUAUUCAAAGUCAGUAUAGCUUUAUGCUAGUAAAGUAAUCAAACACGAAAAUAUUAGCCUCUCUUUCGAGACUCCAGAUGAGCUGACAAUAUAUGUUAUCACUUAAGAAAAAAAUUUCAGUCUAUUCAAACUGUGGAUGGUUUGGAGCUGAUUUGGCCCUCAAUUUGGAGAAAUUAUAUCCUACAACACGUGCACCACAUGGUGGUGCACCACACCAAUCACCUCAUCUCAUUUUUGUGGGGCCCAUUCACCAUACAUUUGUCUCAGAUUGCCACCCCUCUAACCUCUUCUCAGAUUGUUCCUAUGGCGCACCACUGACGUGGUGCACAUGGUGUAGGGUAUAAUUUCUCCUCAAUUUGAGCCACUUGACCGACCGCAAAGGUAUUGAUCAAGCUUUCAACUUCAGAAUUUGGGAAAAAUAAAGGUUAUGUCAAAAAUUACACAAAAGAGUGUGAAGACUUAAGUUGUUUCAAUGUUACCUUCUGAUAGAUCUCCUCCUGCAGAUCAGCAACACCUGCAUCGCCUGUUUGAGCUAUUGAAUCCACUGACGCUGAAAAAGAAAAGAGAAUUCCUAAAUCAAGAGGGAUAAAACUGAAAAUGGAAAUUCAGCCUGUAAUACAAUCAUUUGGCAAAAACCUUUUCAAUUUUCAAGUGGUGGGAUGAAUCAGCUCAAACAAAUGAAGAAAUAAUUUAUAUUAACUAAAAUUUCCUAAAGGUUUUCAAACAAGCAUGACAUUUUGUGAUGUACAAGGAACAAAGGAGGAACUGCAAGAAUUAUUAUGCAAUCACUUACAAAUAAAGAACACUUAACCUUCAGUCCUAGUGAAAUACUUAAAGCAAGCCUGUCACUUUAUCAUAUCAUGGAUAUGCUAGCCUUUUCAGAUCAUUACACAAUUUUGUGGACAAUUUGUUCAGCAUGGCAUAAGUAUGGUCAGAGAUUCUUUAAAAUCAUGAGUUAUUUUCCGAGAAAAUGUAUCUCAACAAUGGAGCAAGACAAGAUUGAAGAACACGUAAUAGAAAGAAAAUGACACAACAAAAUGCACAAUCCUGCAUGAUUGAAUAGAACUGGCAGGCAUGCGUCAGGAAAUAUAAUUUCUGCAGUGUAAUUAACAGCCAGACAAAUAUCAUUCUCAAUCCUAGAGCAUCAUCAAUUAUGAUGGCUAGGGAUUAUAGGCAGGAUCAUAAAUUGCAGAUGAAUAAGAAAUAAUUCAUUAAUGAGACCACUAAUGUUAUGACCUUUUCCAGUAUGAAUGAAGAGUAUCUAACCAUACAGCAUGGUUGUUGGCACUAGCAAACUUAAAACCUAAGGGAGAAAGUAAUGAUCUGAAUGCGGUUACAGUUGGAAGCAAACCAAGCACCAGAUAGUAACAAGGUUAAAGAGGCUAAAAGGCAAACAGUGGACCCAGGACAAACAGACAAAACAGAUAGACUAGGUAAAAAAUAUAAGCUAGCCAAAAAGGAGAGGAAGGCAAGUUACCAGCUCGAUAGGGCUUCAGGAAAAUAUGCAACUCCUGGGUUUGAAAUUCUAAAAACAAGAACAUAAAAUAUUGUGCAAUUCACAGCAAUGGAAUGCAGCUGCUGAAAACCAAGCAGAGCAUACAUGUAAAAGUUGUGAGCAUAUUAAAAUGUUACAACAGGAAACCAAGGGCCAGAAUCAAGAAACUUAUAAAUGUUAAAAAGAGACAAGGCAAAGCAACAAAGGCAAUCCACAAGACCUAAUUAAAGAGCUCAGAAAGCAGAAAUAGAGACUGUUUUAUUAGUAAAAAGCAAAGCAACCACUUUAUCAAGUACUAAUGUCAUCAGGACUGCUUGCCAAUCUUUACCAAACAUAAUCACUAUUCCGUACCUGCCAGUCUUGGACAGCAAGGUUUGACUCAUUAGAAAUUAGCAUCAAAUAACUAUUCACAUGACAUGGAGGCAAUCCCGUCAGUGGACAAUUCAAAUCACAAUCAGAAACAUUUUUGGUAGUCCACCUCACCCACUUUUGGUAUAUGCAGAAUUCUCCAAGUUGGGUGUAGCAUCAACUUCAGAAUCUCAAGCAUGCAAUAAAACCCACUUCAGGAUGCUUCCACUAUGCCUUAUUGUAUAACUCCUAUUAUAGACAGCACACUGCCCACUUUAUAGUUAGUGCAAUCAGCUCCUUUUUUCUUUUCCUUUUUUCUUAAAACUGUGUCUCAUGCAGUUCAUGAGGUACAACAAGAAAUAAGUGAAUGAAUUGUUAUUUGUUCUUUCAUAUAGUCCUGUGUGAUUUUUUUUUUCCUAGGCUCCCUAUCUUUCUAAUUUUUUGAGAAAUGGCUUGCUGCUUCAUCACUCUUGCCUCACACUAGGUAACAAGAACAUUGGGAAUGUGAUUAAGCAUCAAGUCAGUUGGUAGAAAUAUACAAUGGAGUAGCAAAUCACUUUACAAAUAAUAUAAAAUAACCAAAAGGAGUGUGAAGAAAAAGUCAGGUUCAUAUAAGUAAUAUCCAUUGGUUAUGUGCAGGAGAUCAAGGAAAAUUUAUAAAUUUCAUGACUUACUAUUGGAGGAGACAUCUCGAAGCACUCUUUGUGCCUGGAUAAAAUGCUUCUGCUGCUCAAUUGCAUUCUGAGACCGAAGCAAGGCACUUGGAGUUUGAAGCCCUUGCUGCAAGGAAUUUGGUUGUUGUUGCAUUGCCAAUUGUUGUUGCAACUGUACAGGCUCAGAUUGAAUUUGAGAAAUGAGUUGCUGUGGUGAUGACUGAUGUUGGGAUUCUUGACCUUGUGGUUGCAACAAUGCCAAUGGUGUCUGCUGGGUUUGCUGCUGUUGUUGUGUAACCAUCUUAGAUUGUUGCAAAAUAUGCACCGAGUGCUGAUGUGGCUGCACGUUUGAAACAUUAGCAAGGAAUCCAAGUAGCUGUUGCUGCUGCAGCUGCUGUUGCUGCAGCCCUAAUAAGCUGAUUUGGGGGCCUAACUGCUGCUCCUGAUGUAAAUAAAUACUUUGCUGAUUUAACAUCUGCUGAGGCUGUUGCAUGCCCAAGAGACUAUUCUGCUGAACUGGCCGUCUCUGCUGCCAAGGCCGUUGCAUGUCUUGGACACUACUUUGUUGUCCAAGCAGCUGCGCUUGCUGCGUAUUUGAAAUAUCGGCUUGCUGCCCCACUAUCUGUUGCUGCAAUGGUAAAUUUGAUUGCUGAGGAACUGGAGUUGGCUGUCGCUGAAGUGAAGGUGUUUGUUGAUGAAUAGAAGGCUGUGCUUCUUGUUGUUGCUGUUGUCUCGCAACUGAUUGUGGAUGUUGCUGAAGCAAAGAUGGUACUGAUUGCUGGAUUGAAUUCAGUUGAAUCUGUUGAAAGACAGGUUGCACUGCUGACUGCAUUGUUGUAGGCUGUGUCUGCUGAAUAGUCGACUGACCUGACUGAAGACCUGAUGGCAUUUGUAUCAGAGACUGUUGAGAAGAUUGCAGUUGCGUUGGCCGCAACAGAGACUGUUCCUGCUGCUGCUGUUGCAUAUGCGGUUGCAGGAGUGAACAAUGCUGCAACUUCUGUUUUAGUAACUGUUGUUGAAGCUGGUGCUGGUAAAUAAGCUGAUUCUGAGAUUGCUGCUGCUGUUCGGAAGUUACGUGCUGCUGGUACUGCCUUCCCUGCAUUUGCCUUUGCACAUUGGCAUAAAUAUCUGGUGCUGCACCUUGCCCUACAGAAUUACUUACAGAGUUCUGUGAUAUUCCAGGCAUGUUCUGCAGGUUGGAUGUCUGACCAACACUGGAUAUAUUGGACUGACCAAGACCUGCGAUAGAUGAUAGCGCAGAAGGCAGGUUGGCAGAACUUUGCACAGCAGUUGACGUGUUAUUUUGAAGGUUUUGCGGUAAAAGUUGUUGCCUGGCUGGAAACGGAUUAACCAUGGGAAUUGCUAAUGAUUGCCCUUGAUUGCCGACUGACACCGUUGUUACAAAGAUACCAAGAUGGUUGUUAGUUGACAGAAUUUUUGAAAGCAAUGAAGAAGAAAAGUUCAUCAUGCGAGUAAUUAUCCUCCCUCAGCAAACUUUAAUCAACAAAGCUUUAUGCCAUCCAUAAAAAGUUGGAUCUAGUAUUAAAGUAUUAUUUACCAGAGUUAGAAAGCAUUUUACAACUGGCUCUCCACCUAUCAUCAACCUCAUGGAUCAAUUUUAUACCCUUACUUGGACCCUUCGUUUAGCUUACACAUCUGCACCAAUAGUUUAAAAAAAGACAUGCACACAUGGGUUCAUAAGAAGAAAUUCCUGGAUACACAAAGGAUCCAGUGUUUACGCAUGCACCAGCACCCUAGAGCAUAUGUAAUACAGGAUGUACCUAGUUUAGGCAUCUUUAGAGAAGGAAGAGACUUACCAUAAGGCAUAAAGAGGUUGAUACUUGGUAGUCAGAAAACCUAUCCACUUUGUUGCACAACAAGCUUAAAGAAAUGGGAGCAAAACCCAAUAUACAUUAGCACGUAUCCUACAUUGGAUUCUUUGAACUAAGAAUUGUCAAUGCAAAGAAAUAAGAUUUGGUUUGUCCAUGUUUUGGAUUUUUAUGUGGUCAGGAAUAUACAAAAAGUGGAUGAUUUCUGCUAGAAAAAAAUAUGCACCUUCUUCAACAAUUCCAUGCAAUUUUGCAUGAAAAUUAGCAACAUUAGUGUGUUUCGUGGAAAAUGAUUUUAUAUCAAAAAAGUAAUAAAUCUCAAAAUAUGCUAAUGAAAACUCUACAACCAUCUAUAUAAUAUUAGUAAAAUGAUAAACGAGUAUCAGAGGUGAAAUCCCAUGUUGAUAUGUGUCGAGCUCAGAGCUCUCCCAGUGCGCCAUAUGUCGAGCUCUGAACUCUCCACGAUGGUUUUUUUCUCUAGCAGUAUUUUUUUCUUUUUCUUUCUUUUUCUUCGAACCUUUCUCGAGCCCUCUCGAACCUUCUUGAGCCCUUGCGGACGCCCAUCUCCUCCUUGCUCUCCUCACUAUCACCUCCCAUCAGUCUUCACCAUCGCCUUCCUCCCCAUCGUCUCCAAUGUCGGGCUUCCCCUUCCAAUCUCCCUUAAGUACUUUCCUUCCCACAGAUCUCCGAAAAAGAGAGAUGCCUACCUCCUCCCUGCUCUCCGACCGCUACCUCCUGCCGGUCUCCGCUGUCACCUUCCUCCAGAUCGUCACCGGCAUCGGCCUUCCCCUCCGAUCUCCCUUAAGUGCUUUCCUUCCCAUAGAUCUCUGAAAAAGAGAAAGAAAUGAAAACAAAAAAAGAAACAAAAGGAAAAAAAAUUACCCAACACAAAACCCCAACCAUCAUCUAAACUUCCCCAUUCAGCCGUUCUAAGCCUCCCACCCGGUUGGGACUCCUGAGGACGGAAAAAAUAGAAAAAAAUGGGGGAAAACAUAGGAAAAAAAAUGAAAAUAAAAGAAAGAUGGAAAAAAUUUAAGGAUAAGUCCUUUCCCCACAUAGAUGAUCAUUCUUUUUUUCCUUUUCACUUCUUUUUCUUUUUAAUUCAUUAUCUUUUUCAGCAAUCUCCAGGAAAAAAAGAGAGCACUUAAGAAAGAUUAUAGGGGUUUCUUAGGUUCCAAUUGGGUUUUUUCUGAAGUAUAUGGGAUUUUGUGCGAGUUGUGGUGGUGUGGGUUGGUCCCCUGAGGUUUUGAAAACUUAAUCUGGGUAGAAGCAUGAUAUUUUGUAGGGUUUGGGAAUUUUUGAUCAAAAGGAUUCUUCUUUGGCUACAAAAAUUUUCAAUUUAUGGGGCUCUAUUCUCAUGAAAACGAUGUUAGGGGCUACAUGAUGGGGACCGCCGGCAGGUGACAUUUUCGAUGGAGGCAUGGUAGAGGUGAAUAGGGGGCCACUAUAUUUAAAAAAAAAAAAACUAUAUAGUGAGAGUUCAGAAUUCCAAAAAGAGAAAAAGGAAAAAAAUUAAUCAAUCUACAUGAGAAAAGGUUUUGCCUUUUAUUUUUUCCACCAUUUCUCUGGUAAUAUUAGUAAAAUGAAAAGCAAGUGAUUUAAGGUGAAAUGUGGUGUUGACAAGUUGGAUUUUAAACAUAAUCUCAAGAUGCCACAUAAGUAUGACUCAAAAGAUGAAUUAUGUGAUUAGUUGAAUUAUGUGAUGUAUAGUAAUAGUAUUGUGUUAAGUGUAAAGUCAAAAUACCAAAAAGUAAUAUAUUACAUUAAUUGAUUAUUUAUGGCUUUUUCAUGUUCAUGAACAUUUGCAUUGAAAACAACAAAGUCUCUUAAAAUUCUCAAAUUUUUCUCAUCUUAAGACAUUAUGACCAAAACCUUAUCAAAACAAAAAAGCCAAAUGCACCAUCCUUUACGGUCCUCAUUUUCACUCUCUAAUCUAUUAAAUUUAGAAAAGAAAAAUCUUUCUCUUUCUCUGCUGUCAAUAGAAGAAUUUGAUCAAAACAAUAAAUAAAAGAAAAAAACAAAGAAUUUGCCAAUGGUUGCUAAUGCCAACCAUGAUCGAAUAGCCGGCCUACCUUACUCUCUACCACCGAUCAGAAGCUAAAGCUUUCCAUUAUAUUCCACCAACACCAAGGCAUGCUCUCUCUCUCUCUAAUUUUGGUGAUCAUAUUUCAAUUAUGAGAUAUUCAAGGAAUUUUUAGUUUGAAUCACUGUUGUUUCAAUUUUUAGGAAUAUUUUCACUAUCAUAUAAUUGGAAAUUUUAGAGGUAACUAUCAUGAAGCAUUCGGUUUUUCGUCUUAAGAUGACUUCUUGAAGCAUUUUAAUUCAGAAGCAUUUACUAUGCAAUAGGGUUUAAAAGGCAGAUUUCAUGUUGAUUCAUAAAAAAAAAUUAUCUUCAAUUGAUUUUGCAGAAAUUCUGCACAGAAUUCAUGUUAUACGUUUUAGACUUUCUAAUAUCGUUACAUAGAUAAUUCGUUAGCUAGCUAAACUGCAGCCUGAUAUUUGAAACUUGAGAAUGAAAUUUGCCAUGCCUAGAAUAGAUUGGCAUAUCGUUGGCUUGAUUGGUAAUGGUACUUGGUAUUAAGCUACAUGGAAGUUUCAAAGAAGCCAAUAUAAGUUUCAAUUUUGCUAUCCACACAAGACUAUUUGUAUUAAAUCAAAAUCAAAAUACAUGUCUGUUUUAUAAUGACAGUGUGUACAUAUGUAAAUGCCCCCUUUUGAAACAUGACAUAUUCAAAAUAAGGCCAGUAUUUUGCAGAAAUUAUCUUCAAUUGGUUUUGCAGAAAUUCCGCACAGAAUUCAUAUUAUAUGUUUUAGACUUCUAAUAUUAUUACAUAGAUGAUUCGUUAGCUAGCUAAACUACAGCCUGAUAUUUGAAACUUGAGACUGAAAUUUGCUAUGCCUAGAAUAGAUUGGCAUAUCGUUGGCUUGAUUGGUAAUGGUGCUUGGUAUUAAGCUACAUGGAAGUUUCAAAGAAGCCAAAUAUAAGUUUCAAUUUUGCUAUCCACACAAGACUGUUUGUAUCAAAUCAAAAUCAAAAUAUAUGUCUGUUUUAUAAUGACAAUUUGUAUACAUGUAAAUGCCCCCCUUUGAGCCAUGACAUAUUCAAAAUAAGGCCUAUAAUCUUUUUUUAAACAGAAGGCAUAUCAGUUCCUAUUGAAACUAAAUAAUCAAAUAGGAUUUUAGUAUAAUGUUGAGGCUGUCACAAGGGAAAAUUGAUGUUGAUCAUGCAAUAAUUUGUUAUUCAAAUUAUGUUUUGUUGUUAUUUUCUAUUGAUUGUUUUGGAUGGGUUCAUGAAUUUAUGAUGCCUUCAUUUCCUAAUUGCUUUCAAUUAUGUAAUGGUUGUUUAAAUGGUUAGUUGAUUUGAUGUGGCGGUGUUCUAUAGAUAUAGUUCCAUUUUUAUUUAGAGUCACCACACCGGGCAAGAUUCAUAUAGCGGACAUCAGCAAGGAAGGUAAUAGGCGAAACCUGAAAAAUACACAAGAAAAGCAAAAGAAACCUUAGGUAGUGCCUAUGAGCUUAUGCAGUGCCUUCACUUCUUUAUCAUUGGUGUUGUAGGUAUUGGAAAAAGCUUUAAUCUAGCUCUUCAGAUGAGUAAUUCCGCAGUUCUCCAAAUUUUGAUCAUGUUGGCUGGAGAAAUAAAAAGAUUACAGAUAUUGUGAUGCAAAUGAUGCUGCUCAAGAUGUGGACAGCGAUUUUUCCAUUUAGUUUGAAUAGAUGAAUUUUUUUCUCAGAAUUGAUUUUAUUUUUUGUAAUUUGCAGUUUCUUUUUCUGUGUUGUUUCUUAAAGAGUUGUUUUAAUGUUAUCCAUUUACUAUAAGGAUUAACUUUGAUAAUGUUAGAAGACGAAUUCGCUAAAUAACCUGAUCAGUCCUCUGGCCAAUAGCCUUGGCAAGAAUAUUGUUAUAAUCCUUGACCCCCAAAACAAAUUCUCUUCAAUGCUUAUUGGCACCGGGUUUCUAUUUGACUUAGUGCAGCUGAAAAUGGUUUGCAAUCUUUAUUAGAUUGGUUGUCAGUUUAUUAAACUAACUGAAAGAUGGAUUGAAAUGGUAGACACCUAAUAUAAGCAACAUCUUUUUUUUUUUUUCUUGACUUGAUUGAAAGUUUCAAGUUUCAACAGCCUGCGAAGAGCUAAAUUUCAGAAUUCAUAAUGGUCCUGUUCACUAUGUAGCUGGAUUAUUAGAGUUUCUCCCAAGUGCUGCAGUACAAUAUAAAGCCUGAAGACUCUUAUGAACAGAAUCCUUUCUACAGCUUUGUUUUCUAAUAUCUCUAAGAAUCGGAAUCUAGUGUAAUUUGUUUCCUUCCAGAUUUUUUAGUUUAAAGGUUCUGAUUGCAUUUCUUUUGAAAGGAGGAGCAGAAACCUACCUUGUACCAUUCUUGAUUUUUGGACUUGCUAACAUUAAUAGCAUAAAAAAAAAUGUUAUUAUGAUUAUCAAUUAAACCCCCGCAAUGCGGGGAUUGAGUGCUAGUUUAUUUCAAUAUCAGAUAUUGUCAAGUGGCAGAGAAAAUUUCACAUGCCCAAGUCAGUUGCUUUGUAAAAUUGUUAAAUUCAAAUCAGAUUUCAUAAAGAAAUAAUAAUUUAUAGUGCAAAUAAGAGCUGUUUUUAGUUAAUUUAUUAUUAAUUUGGUAACCAUGCUGAGUUUGUACGAAUAUCCAUGUUCCCAUUUGUUGUUUAUUCACCCAUCAUAUCAUUCAUCCAUUUAAAUCGCACUUAUUAUUCUUAGAAACAAUGGUAAAGUUUCUUAUCGUAGAUGCUUUAGAAGUUGAGUUUCUUUGUUGUGACUGUUUACUUAAUCUAGUAUAAUGUUAAUUCAUGUUAAUUUUUACGUUAGACUUCUUUAGUUAAGGUAUAUGCAAGUACUCUACAUGUCAAUUAGUUUUUUAGAAUGCAUCCUAGACAUGCCAUAGGAUGCUAAAAAGAUUGGUCAAAGAAAAAAAAAAUGUCACGUCAAAGCAUGUCUGUUUCAAAGAAAGAAGCAUUUAAAAUCAAAGUUCUCAGUUCCGAUACCGGUGGCCAUUCCGGUUGACCGACGGCACGGCUUGGUACAGUUCCAUACCGGAUCGGACAGGAGCGAACCGACAAAGGGACGUUCCGAGGAAGAGAAAAAGAGAGAAAGAGAGGAAAAAAGAGGAAGAGGGAGAAAGGAAGAGAAAGAGAGAGGGGGGUCUGUCGGAGAGGCCACCAAAGGGCCUCCGAUUGGCCGACAUGGCUGUCUAGCAGCGUAAACGCCGCCUGCGGUUCCGCAGUGUGAAACAAGGGCGAUCGCCCCUAUUUCACAAGCUUUUUUAAAAAAAUCCGAUAACAGUGAAGCCGGCAAUGAGUUUGCCGGCUUCCUUGUUUUUGAUCUUUUUUUAAAAAAAUUGGAAAUAGUAAAGCAGGCAAAUCGAUUGCCGACUUCACCAUUUUUAAUUUUUUUUAAAAAAAUUCUGAAAAGUGAAGCCGGCAAACGAAGUGCCGGCUUCAUUGUUCUUCUUCUCCUUUAAAAAAAGGCCGACGCCCACCGCUUCUGCGACUCCACUCGCGCCACUUAUGCCGCCCAAUGGCCAUGGCAGCCACCCAAAGACCUCCAGCGGCCUUUCCGCCGUCCUGUCCUCCCAUCUCCAAUGGUCCCCCCUCUCUCUCUUUCUCGCUCGUUGAGACAGCCCCAUCGUGCAAACCGAGCCGCGACGGCUUCCGCCACCCUUCGACGGCUACAGAGGGCCACCACCGGCUUCCGACGGCCUCUCCCUCUCCUCUCUCUCUGCCUCUGUUUUUCUCUCUUUCUUCUCCGAUACUGGCAUGUGCCCGCUUCCCCACCGGUCCAGUUCGGCAUGCCCCGAACCGCCCGAUUCGAGACGAUUCUGAGAACCAUGUUUAAAACAAUUAUAAAAGGGUAGGGAUUAAUGGACAUUAAAGCAUGUUCGUUGCAAGUUUUCAAGUGUCUAACAAAAUUUUCUGUAUUAAUGCUUGACAUAUAUCAUACAGGCCCCUAACCAACAUAAGCAAAAUAAGUAAUAUGUUAACAUUUUCUUUUUGCAAGUCCAUUGAACUCCUUUAGUUGUAAGCUAUUGACAUUUCAAUCCAUUUAUGCAGUUUAACAACAUAGGAGACUAUAUUUGUAUUCAUCUAUUUUGUCAUUAAGUCUGACAAAGCAGUGGAAGCAAAACCAAAGGUCAACCUGACCUGCUUCUAUUUAGGUCAGAUUUAGGACAGGGAUUUUAGUUUGGGUUAUGCACAGGUCAAAUUUUUUGACCCAGACAUUAAACAUGUCAGAUACAGGUCAAAGUUUUGACUGUACUCACGUGAUGAGAAUAAAGUUUUAUUUGGAUCAGGUUGAUUCUUGAACUUGGUGGAAAGAUUUUGAGAACAAUCGAUGUCCUUUUGGUAAUAUUUGUAAUAUUCACCUCAGUUUGAUGCAUCAAGAGUUGCAAGGAUUGGUCAAAAUGUCUUAGUUAGUUUGGGUAUGCAUCAUGUUGCAUGGGUUUGGCCAGUCGGGGCAGUUAAAAUGUCAGUGGGUACAUGGGACAAAGAAUCCCAAUAUGAUACUGGGUCAGGUUAAAUAUGGUUCAAGGUCUCCAUGAUAUUGUCCUACUUGGACCCAUUCGAGCUAUUAAACAAUAGGCAUGGAACAAGAACUAAAAAGGAUGAGAAAAACAUAUCAAGAAACAAUAGUGGAUGCCAAUUAUACAGAAAAAAGGAACCAAAUAAAAUUGUACUUAGAGGUAGGGAAAGAAUGCACAUGGUGCAACACCAAAUGAUAUUUCAUUUGUAGAAAAAGCUCAGAGAAUUAUCUGCUUCAUGUCGACUAUAAGUCAAAAUAAAAAGUGAAAACAAACAAUUAGAUGUUAAAACAAAUGGAGCAGUAUCUGUGAGUUUCUUUUAGAUGCCAAGCAUACAAGUACUCCAAUACCCAAAUGUCUCAUUUAAAUCUUUUAUGACAUUGCAUUAAUAUGAAGCAAUAUGUUCUAUCACGUCAAUACCUUGAUCUGUAGGAUUUUGGUUCGGAAUGGUGGUGUUUGGCAUUGAAGAGUUAAUUGGAGGAGUAUGCUGAGUCUUUGUCUCUAUUGAAAGCAUUUUCAGAGAAAUUUUCCUCAGAUAAUCAGGCUGCAAUAUCAGAAAUAUUACUUCCCAUGAGAGCUGACAAUUCAAAUUAAUGAGAAUGAGAGGAAACACAUAUAAAGCCUUUUUUUGGAGGAAGAGAAGGAAUAUGCACAACAAGGAGACUCGUCUGUCCACCUUGUGGAUGAAUAUAUUCGCUUCACCUACAGUUUGACUCGCCCAGACUAGCUAUCGAAAUACUUACCAUAAUACAUCUACAUUUUAAAUCAAGCCUUUAUAAUUAGCAGAAUUUGAUUAUCUAAACCCGCUAUUCCUGGCCGAACAACACAUAUCAGUCAAAGAAAAUCAAAAGCAUGACUUGCAAUAUGGAAGAUUAGCAAACAGCAGACAGCUGCCAACAUCAAGUAGAUCAAGUAGCCAUGCUCAAGUCAAGGAAAUAUGUGGAAGUUCAGCAAGAGCUGCAGGACAUUGAUUUUUUCCUUCUUUUUCUCCACUAGAUGAAAUAACUACCAACAAGUAAAAAAGUAACAAUAGUUCCUAUAACUGGCCUCUCAGCAUGCUAAAUCAUGAUACCCAACCAACUCAUUAAUUUACAAAAAGUCUAGCUUCUCCCAUAUGUUUUUAUUGAGAUUUGACUACGAGCUUAACAAAUGCACCUCAUAAGCAUAGACCGUGCAUUUUCAUAUUUCAUCAAGCAAUUGAACUCCUUCAAUCUCUUACCAGCCCCUCUCCCAUUCUCCUAAAGGCAUGCAGGUAGCCAUAGAAAACGAAGGAAGACAAAUCAACCUUUCCCCUCAGCUCUUUCCACUUACAAUAACAUACAUUUUUCGCUAUUGCACCACAUCAUUAGUAUCAAUUCACACUACUACUCAGCUCCAAAAGGCCAAAUUCCACAACUCCACCGUCUCGAUGAUCUUGACAUGCUACAUCUUGAUGAGAAUUGUACAAAAACAAACAUAUCGAUCUUUGUACGAUGUUACAUCAUUAGUAGUAAUUCACGCUGUUGAAUUACAAAUGGCCAACAAUUCCUUGUGAGGGUUCUUGCUGUAAACAUCUUCAAUUCCACCAAUCUCAAACAUUUUAACAUGAGAACUGCAUUGCUCUUUGUACUACACUUCAUCAGUAAUGUUAAUUUCCCCUAUUUAAUUCCAAAUGGAAGACAAAUUCGUUGGAGUGUUUGCUGCUCAAC
Molecule: long non-coding RNA, 20730 nt
Filed under: Elaeis guineensis (African oil palm)
Lineage: Eukaryota; Viridiplantae; Streptophyta; Magnoliopsida; Arecales; Arecaceae
Description: long non-coding RNA (EGUI_LNC025344)
Source: RNAcentral